UAGGGAAUAUUGCACAAUGGGGAAGACCCUGAUGCAGCGACGCCGCGUGAAGGAAGAAGUAUCUCGGUAUGUAAACUUCUAUCAGCAGGGAAGACAAUGACGGUACCUGCAAAGGAAGCACCGGCUAACUCCGUGCCAGCAGCCGCGGUAAUACGGAGGGUGCGAGCGUUAAUCGGAAUUACUGGGCGUAAAGCGCUCGUAGGUAGUAUAUCAAGUCAAGGGUGAAAUCCCCGCGCUCAACGUGGGAACUGCCUUUGAAACUGUUACACUUGAGUGUGUGAGAGGAUAGUGGAAUUCCAGGUGUAGGAGUGAAAUCCGUAGAUAUCUGGAGGAACAUCAGUGGCGAAGGCGACUAUCUGGCACAUAACUGACACUGAGGAGCGAAAGCGUGGGUAGCAAACAGGAUUAGAUACC
Molecule: ribosomal RNA, 414 nt
Filed under: uncultured bacterium
Lineage: Bacteria
Description: bacterial SSU rRNA
Rfam family: Bacterial small subunit ribosomal RNA
Source: RNAcentral